UGAAGUUACAAUAUCAAAUUCAGAUAUGUAUUGUAUCGUAUCGUGUCCAUCCCUACUUAGAAGAUGAACCGACUCUCUUUGAUUAAGUCACUUUACCCAAACUCUCUUUCAUUAACAUUGAUCUUAGUCAAUCCCAUUGAGCCUUAACUGAAUUCCUUGGUCACCCUAUUUGACACCUUGACCUUUUUGAGUCCUUUCUUUUGGCACCCUUACCUCCCGGACAAAUCUAUCAUAGAUCCGUCUUAAAACUUCA
This 253-nucleotide unclassified non-coding RNA is filed under the name Hevea brasiliensis (rubber tree). The record is from RNAcentral. Lineage: Eukaryota; Viridiplantae; Streptophyta; Magnoliopsida; Malpighiales; Euphorbiaceae.